AGAGUUUGAUCCUGGCUCAGAACGAACGCUGGCGGCAGGCCUAACACAUGCAAGUCGAACGCAUCCUUCGGGGCUGAGUGGCGGACGGGUGAGUAACGCGUGAGAAUCUGCCUAAAGGACUGGGACAACAGCUGGAAACGGCUGCUAAUACCAGAUAUGCCAGAAAGUGAAAAGGGGUAACCCGCCUUUUGAUGAGCUCGCGUCUGAUUAGCUAGUUGGUAGGGUAAAGGCCUACCAAGGCUCCGAUCAGUAACUGGUCUGAGAGGAUGACCAGUCACACUGGGACUGAGACACGGCCCAGACUCCUACGGGAGGCAGCAGUGGGGAAUUUUCCGCAAUGGGCGCAAGCCUGACGGAGCAAUACCGCGUGAGGGAGGAAGGCUCUUGGGUCGUAAACCUCUUUUCUCAGGGAAGAACACAAUGACGGUACCUGAGGAAUCAGCAUCGGCUAACUCCGUGCCAGCAGCCGCGGUAAUACGGAGGAUGCAAGCGUUAUCCGGAAUGAUUGGGCGUAAAGCGUCCGCAGGUGGCAGUGUAAGUCUGCUGUCAAAGGUCAGGGCUCAACCCUGAACAGGCAGUGGAAACUACACAGCUAGAGUGCGGUGGGGGCAGAGGGAAUUCCCAGUGUAGCGGUGAAAUGCGUAGAGAUUGGGAAGAACACCGGUGGCGAAAGCGCUCUGCUAGGCCGCAACUGACACUCAUGGACGAAAGCUAGGGGAGCGAAUGGGAUUAGAUACCCCCGUAGUCC
This 748-nucleotide ribosomal RNA is filed under the name uncultured cyanobacterium. RNAcentral describes it as "bacterial SSU rRNA". It matches the Rfam family "Bacterial small subunit ribosomal RNA", at positions 8 to 796 of the family's 1533-position model. The record is from RNAcentral. Lineage: Bacteria; Bacillati; Cyanobacteriota.